RNAcentral lists this ribosomal RNA (1199 nucleotides) under Perkinsela sp. RNAcentral describes it as "SSU rRNA". It matches the Rfam family "Eukaryotic small subunit ribosomal RNA", at positions 365 to 1464 of the family's 1831-position model. Lineage: Eukaryota; Euglenozoa; Kinetoplastea; Prokinetoplastida; Perkinselidae. The record is from RNAcentral.
GGGAAUUAGGGUUCGAUUCCGGAGAGGGAGCCUGAGAGAUAGCUACCACUUCUACGGAGGGCAGCAGGCGCGUAAAUUGCCCAAUGCCAAAUCGGCGAGGCAGCGAAGAAAAAUAGCGACCCCGCCUCUUCGGAGCGCGGGGAUUGCAAUGGGUGGUACGUAAACCCACCAACGAGUAUCAAUUGGAGGACAAGUCUGGUGCCAGCACCCGCGGUAAUUCCAGCUCCAAUAGCGUAUAUUAAUGUUGCUGCUGUUAAAGGGUUCGUAGUUGGACUCAGGGCGGGGAGAUUCGCGCACAAUCGUGCGCCUUCGCCCCCGCCCUGUCACAGACGGGGCCGCGUCCCGCCGCGAGCCUUCACUGGCAUCGCGGCACCCGCAAGGGAUCGAGUGCGACACACUCACCGGACCGCCCGUCGUUCUCACCGUGAAUAAAACAGCGUGUUCAAAGCAGCCGUUCGGCCGCAUGACAAAGCAUGGAAUGACAGAGCAUCGACCAGCUGGUUGUGCUUUUGUUGGUUUUCCUACCUAGUUGGGUAACUCGCGGCGCCGCCGCGCCUCCGGGCGCGCGGUGCUCGCACGGGAUUAACGGGGGUUGUCGGGGGAAAACGUAUUCGGGCGUGAGAGGUGAAAUUCUUAGACCGCCCGGGGACGAACUUAUGCGAAGGCAUUUUCCAAGUAUACCUUCAUCAAUCAAGAACUAAAGUGUGGAGAUCGAAGAUGAUUAGAUACCAUUGUAGUCCACCACUGCAAACGAUGACGCCCAUGGAUCGGACAGCGUUCUACUCCGAUGGGAUCUUUUCGGCACUGCUCCCCUUCAACGCGAAAGCUGAGGCUAUGGUCUCAUGGGGAAGUACGUUCGCAAGGCUGAAACUUAAAGAAAUUGACGGAAUGGCACCACCAGACGUGGAGUGUGCGGUUUAAUUUGACUCAACACGGGAAACCUUACCAGGACAGGACAACGGAAGGAUUGACAGGCUGAUAGCCCUUUCUUGAUUCGUUUGACGGUGGUGCAUGGCCGCUUUUGGUCGGUGAAGUGAUUUGUUUGGUUGAUUCCUUUAACGGACGAGACCCAAUCCGCUUACUAGGGGCGCCAUCUCUGCGGGCCUCUCCGCUCCGGCGGGGCGGCCCGGAUAGCGACUCCUUCUUCGCGGCAUUCCAUGCGCCUUAGCAUGGUGGCAUUUUGGGCAACAGCAGGUCCA